Molecule: small nuclear RNA, 99 nt
Filed under: Otolemur garnettii (small-eared galago)
Lineage: Eukaryota; Metazoa; Chordata; Mammalia; Primates; Galagidae
Source: RNAcentral
GCCAUAGGUUAGUAGAGUUCUUAGUCAUUGAUAUAGAGAAGAUUAUCAUGGGCCCUGUGCAAGGAGGACAUGCAAAUUCAUGAAGCAUUCCAUAUUUUU